Molecule: ribosomal RNA, 1373 nt
Filed under: metagenome
Description: bacterial SSU rRNA
Rfam family: Bacterial small subunit ribosomal RNA
Source: RNAcentral
AGAGUUUGAUCCUGGCUCAGGAUGAACGCUGGCGGCGUGCUUAACACAUGCAAGUCGAACGAACCUUCGGGUUAGUGGCGGACGGGUGAGUAACGCGUGAGAAUCUGCCCUCAGGAGGGGGAUAACGGCUGGAAACGGCCGCUAAUACCCCAUAUGCCGAGAGGUGAAAUGAAUUUCGCCUGAGGAUGAGCUCGCGUCUGAUUAGCUAGUUGGUGUGGUAAAGGCUCACCAAGGCAUCGAUCAGUAGCUGGUCCGAGAGGAUGAUCAGCCACACUGGGACUGAGACACGGCCCAGACUCCUACGGGAGGCAGCAGUGGGGAAUUUUCCGUAAUGGGCGCAGGCCUGACGGAGCAACGCCGCGUGAGGGAUGAAGGCCUCUGGGCUGUAAACCUCUUUUAUCAAGGAAGAAGAUCUGACGGUACUAGAUGAAUAAGCCACGGCUAAUUCCGUGCCAGCAGCCGCGGUAAUACGGGAGUGGCAAGCGUUAUCCGGAAUUAUUGGGCGUAAAGCGUCCGCAGGCGGUCUUGAAAGUCUGUUGUUAAAGCGUGGAGCUCAACUCCAUUUCAGCAAUGGAAACUAGAAGACUAGAGUGUGGUAGGGGCAGAGGGAAUUCCCGGUGUAGCGGUGAAAUGCGUAGAUAUCGGGAAGAACACCAGUGGCGAAGGCGCUCUGCUGGGCCAUAACUGACGCUCAUGGACGAAAGCCAGGGGAGCGAAAGGGAUUAGAUACCCCUGUAGUCCUGGCCGUAAACGAUGAACACUAGGUGUCGGGGGAAUCGACCCCCUCGGUGUCGUAGCCAACGCGUUAAGUGUUCCGCCUGGGGAGUACGCACGCAAGUGUGAAACUCAAAGGAAUUGACGGGGGCCCGCACAAGCGGUGGAGUAUGUGGUUUAAUUCGAUGCAACGCGAAGAACCUUACCAGGGUUUGACAUCCUGCGAAUCCCUUGGAAACUUGGGAGUGCCUUCGGGAGCGCAGUGACAGGUGGUGCAUGGCUGUCGUCAGCUCGUGUCGUGAGAUGUUGGGUUAAGUCCCGCAACGAGCGCAACCCACGUCUUUAGUUGCCAGCAUUAAGUUGGGCACUCUAGAGAGACUGCCGGCGAUAAACCGGAGGAAGGUGUGGAUGACGUCAAGUCAUCAUGCCCCUUACAUCCUGGGCUACACACGUACUACAAUGCUACGGACAAAGGGCAGCAAACUCGCGAGAGCUAGCAAAUCCCAUAAACCGUGGCUCAGUUCAGAUCGUAGGCUGCAACUCGCCUACGUGAAGGAGGAAUCGCUAGUAAUCGCAGGUCAGCAUACUGCGGUGAAUACGUUCCCGGGCCUUGUACACACCGCCCGUCACACCAUGGAAGUUGGCCACGCCCGAAGUCG